Molecule: microRNA, 22 nt
Filed under: Equus caballus (horse)
Lineage: Eukaryota; Metazoa; Chordata; Mammalia; Perissodactyla; Equidae
Source: RNAcentral
GAUCAGUGCCUGUCUGGGUGGA